CAACACUCCCAAUAUGAAGGAUUUCUCAUUGCCUCUCCCUUAUAAAUUACUCCAAAUACAAACAAAACCCUCAUUAUCGCAAUUCCCCAAAUAAUAGUUUCGGCGAAAAAAUCUCUCAUAGCGUUUAGAAUCAAUCCAGAAGAAAAUUAUCUUAAAUUAGGGUUGUGGUUGAUUGUAAUAGCAAACAAGAAUCAAAAAUAUGGUAGCAAAAGCUGAUAUCGCCGUUUCGAUUGGUCUAGGGUUCUUCCACGUCUCCACGCCGUUGACAUCUAAGGGUUUUCUUGAUGCUCGCUUCUGAAUCUGUGUCCAUCAAAAUCGCUCGUUCUGAAUCGGUAUGUUUUUAGUUUUUUAUCCCUCUUUUAUGUGAUUAUGAAUUGGGUUUCGAGUAUGAUAUCUAUUAUCUAGAUUAAUACAUUUAAGACUUAGGAUUUUUGUAUCCGUUGUUAUUGACUUGGAUUUGGUGAUUAAUUUGAUCGAUUGAUAUGGAUUAUUGGCUUUUCACGUGUGUGUUAACAUCUGGGUAUUGGUUGGGGUGAAAUUGAUGUUGCCUUUGCAAAUUUAGAGUUUAUUGGCUUACCCUAUUUUUUUUGGAAUGGGUGUAGCUUGAUUAUCAAGAAUCUACUUUUCUUUUAUUUAUAUAAAUUAUUUUAACUGAUUGUUUUACCUUUUACUGAAACAUUUGAUUUUAGGAACCUUGCUUUCCUAUGUUCAAGAGUGUUAAAUGACGCAGAAGGUGCAAGCUUCACUUAAUAUCAUGCAUUUGGAUGAGUACAAUCUUUGAGCAAGAACAGAGUAAAUCAAGUAAUGUGUUCGUUUUAUGUUUACAUCAUAUUUUGAAUUUACGCUGUCUAGUGAUAGCCAAUUUGAUAGUUACAUGUUUAAAUUAUGUUAAGUUUUGUUUAUUAUUGCCUUUAAACUUGCAGAUUAUGAUGCAACUGAUACUCUUUGGAAGUUGGAAUGUUGUAUUUUUGUUUGUACACUUAGUUACUUUAAGUUACUCCGUUAUUUUACUGAAUUAUGUUUUUCUUUUGCAACAGUUUUGAGAUAUACUUGAACAACAAGCAAAUGUCUGGGUAAGUUGAUAUCACUUCUUAAAACUAAUAGCAAUUAUUUUUUUAUUAUUUAUACUUGUUGUCUUUAUUAUCAGACUUCUGUUUGUUGCUUGGUGAAACUAUUAUUCUGUCUUUAAUCUUUCCUAUAAUUUAUCAGUGAUUAAACGGAGUACAAUGGUUGAUUGGUAUUAAACUUAACAAUGGCUUUAAACUUAACAGGUUCUCUUAUUACUCUUGGUUUUGUGCAAAUAUCUAACCAAUUUUUUUUUUGAAAUUCAUAUGAACUUUAUUUCACUUUAUCAAGAUCCAUUUACUUCAUAAGUUUGUAUCAGUGAAUCUUUUGAGUUACUAUUGCACUGACCUAGAUUUGUACCUUUACUGUGUCUGAAUGAAAAAUUGGGCGGCCAUCUUACAGGUUUGAGAAUGAAAAAAUCGAGAUUUGGUAAUUUAAUUUUAAUAUUUAUUGAAUUGAAUAAAUAUUUUUCGAUGAAUUAAUUAUUAGAUUAAAUAAUUAAUUGAUGAAAUUGUGGUAGAUUAAUUUAAUUAUAUGUGUUAUAUUUAUUAAAUUAAUGUGGAGAAUUUUUUAUUAUUCGAAGUAUGUAAUUAUGUGAGCUUAUUGUAAUAAAAGAAAUAUUUAAUAAGCCUAAUAGUAUUUUAAUUAAUUUAAUAAUUAAUUAGAGAUUUAAUAAUUUGACAUUAUUAAUAAAUGAGAAAUUUAAUUAUGUGACUAUGUGGAUUUAUGAGAAAUUAUUAUAUGUUAUUUAAUUAAAUUAAAUAAGAUAUUGACUUUAUUUUAUAAAGUAGUGUGAUAUUAUUUAAACUAUUUUAUAAAGGUUUAAUUAAAUUAAUUGGAUAUAAGCCUUUAAGGCUAACCAAACGAGGCCUUAAGAGGAGUUGAGGGCAGUUAAACCACGUAUGGAGUAACUGACCUCAACUCUGCGCAUAAAGGGUCAGUUGCUUUGUUUUACGUAUUUUGCUAUUAAGUGUUCAAACUGAGAGUCAGAGAAUUUAGAGAGAGUUCAGAGAGAAUUCAGAGGAAUUGUGGGAGAAAACUCUGUGAUUGAAGUAGUAUCUGAAAAGGGAUUGUUAUCUUUACUCACUCUACGCUCUGGGUAAUUCUCUCCAACCCAAUUCUCAUUUUUUUUUCGUCAUUAAGCUUUCAUGAAAAUGGUUUCCAAUCUCUUUGUUAAAUCUCUGUAAAUGGGAAAUUGUGUUGUUAUAUGGAUAUAUGUAAUAAUAUGAUUAGCAUAACAUGUUUAAUUAUAUAUUAUAUAGGUUUCCAUAUCAUCAGUUUCAUAAUAUUAAUGUAUGUUAUGGCUUCAAAAGUAACAGAGUAUAGAAUAUGGCCAUGUGGCCCUUAUACGUGAUUUUAAUAUGUCAAACAUAAUUUUUUUUUGUAAAAUUUUCACUUGUAUAUAAUUAUGCAUGCUAAAAUGAAGAAAACAAAAUUUGAAUGGAUGGAUUUGGUGUUAUAACAAAUCUGUAGUGUUAAAAUUUUAUGUUUUUGUUCAAAACCUUCAAGAACACCAAGAACAAUGAAAUUCGCAUGUUUUAAUUUUGUAAUUAUGUGUUUUAAUUGGUUAAAAUCACUCUAUAAAUGUUGGGUAAUGAUUAUAUACGAAUUAUAACAUGUGGGUAUGUUUAAUCUGGUGAAUUCAAUGACCAUGUAAUGUUAAAUCCGCUUGUUUCUGUGUUCUUCGCGAACUAGAAAUUCAGAAAUUGGAGUUUCGCGCCGCGGUGCCAACUCCAGGCCUAAGACUCGCGCCGCAGUACCAAGACCUAGUAUAACAGUGGCGCCGCAGCGCCACUUAACAGAAUGGUCCAAAAAUGAGUUUUUAACAUGUUUAAAUUUAGCAAUGUGUUGGUAACUUAAUCUAAUUAACAUAAAAACUUGUUAGACAUAUAAUGAGGUGUUAAAAUAAAUUCUUAGCAUGUCAAUAACACAUGUACGUGAGAAUUGAAUGAUUGAAUGCAUAGUUAGCUUAUUGUUCAUGAAGUGUUAAUUGUGACAAUGAGUGUAAUAAUUUGACUAAGUAUAGUCAUGAAUUUGAGUUAGACAAAAAGAAUGAACUUGUGAUGACUAGUACGUUAUAAUUGACUGGUAUUGUGAACGUAAAUGAUAUGUAGGAUUUAAAUCAAGGAACGAGUUUAAUUAACGUGUAAUCUACGCACAAGGCAAGUUUCCUAACCUUACUCGUUAUCUUUAUAUGAGCUUAUAAGUUAUCUCUUUACAUCGAGCAAAUUCUCGUUAUUAUUGAUCAAGUCCAUUUUAUUAUAUUAAAAUGUAUUAAUCUUUCAAAGUAUGAUUCUGUUAUACAAUAAUUAUUCUAUUGUAUACCUUUUGAGAUUGCUAUUCAAUUUUAAAUUAUCAGUUACUGUUGAACUUUGUUAGACUAGUGAACCCUUAAUGAUUCGACUAGUCCAUAGUUGAUGAGCGUUCUAAAUUUCAGAACCCUUGAUGAAUUAUCCAAACCAAACUUCCUUUGGUGCGGACUCUAAUGUCAAACUGAGAUGAACAACCCUGUAUAGGGGAUUACUUAUGCGUUAGCGUUAAGAUAUUGUGCACAGUAUGGUACUAAGGGCUGAUCCCCCUAAGUACGAGAAGAAGAGUCCAUAGUCUUAUGACUGUUAAAGGUUUCAAGUAUAAACACUUGACAACCUAGGACAUAGUUCAAGGUCUUAUGACCCUCAGAAGUUCUUUUAUUUCUUGUUAUUCAUUCCUGAUUCAAAAGUUGAGUUUCCUAUUUCAGAAGUCUUUGAUUUAUUCAAAUAUUAUUAUUCAUUUGUUAUAUUAUUAUACUUGUGGGCAAUCGUGCUCACUCUUGCGUAAUAAUAACAUUGCAGUUAAGAACGAAAGAUCAGACGAGCCUUCCACUAGUAAAGGCAAGGGCAAGAUUAACAAGUAAUGAAGACUGGUUAUUUAUGUGUUUAUGUAAUGAUAUUCAGGAUUUAUAUUAUUUAAAGACUUAUUAUUUGUUUAUGAUUCCGCACAGAUGUUUAAGGUUAGAGCAACCUGGGAUUUUAUUAUUAUGCAGUUAAUGUAACCCCAUAAGGGGAGAUUUAUUUAUUAUUUCUAUCUAUUGCAUGGUUUGCAUUUAUUUAUGGGUAGAUAGAUAGAUGAUAUUUGUACAGUGAACACCAAAUCCUGUGGAAAUGGAAGUACCGGAUUUGGGGGUGUCACAGGUUGGUAUCAAAGCUGUAGGUUAUGAACCUUAGGUGGGGAAACAACCUUAGGUAGUAGCCUUGUAAGAGAUUGAGAACAUAGUAGUGGUAAACUCUUAUCGAGUUAUAAGAAAUGAAUUUCUAAAUUCAUUGAAGAUAAUAAAAGAUUUUAUGUGCUUAUGUGUUAAUCUAUGUGUUCGCUAGCACGGAUUAGUAACUAAAACUUAAAUUUUGUUGUCAGGAUGUCGGAUGUUAGAGGAGCUAGUCGAUCUGGGGAGGAGGAACCCGGAGUACCUACAGAGGAGGAGCCCCGAGACAUUCAUGUCAUCAGGGAACAGUUGGUACAGAGAAAGCCAUCUCCGUUGAUCACUGUUGUUGGUCGGGAGCAUGAGCCUGAGACCGAUCUAGAGGAGGAUUCUGAUGAAGAAGAGGAGGAAGAGGAGUUCCCACAGAACUCCAUUGAUGCUGAGAUGUAUGAUGCACUUUAUGAUCGUAACAUAGAGUUGCAAGACACUGUUCAGGAGCUGGGGAAAGGACUGUUAUGCAGCAGAGUACCAUCGAGCAGAAGGAUGGGGAAAUUGUGACUCUUCACACACGUUUGGGAAACAUGGAGUGAGAUUUGGUUCACGAGAAGGGUCAAAUUGAGGAGAAGAACGAAGAAAUAGAGAAGUUGAAGAAAGAUCUGAAAGAGAGCUCAGAAAGACUGGCAUUAGCAGAGGAGGGCUGGGUAAGAGAGUCACGUCGUGCUGAUCUUGCUGAAGAGGAUUGUCGUGUAAAGAAGGCUAAGCUUGGGGAGACGUACUCUACACUUCACAAUGCAAUGGAUGCAAAGAUGAAUUGUUAAUGAAUAUCUUUGGCUCGUAGUGCAAAGAUGAAUUUAUUAGUAUGAUUAUGAAUAAGAAUUAUGAUUUGGUAUAACCAUGAUUUUGAUGUUUCAGGUAAAGACAGAUGAUGAAAAUUAUCUUCGUCCUGGGUGCGAAGAGGAAUUUAGAAUAACAAUUAUGAUUAUAAGUUAUUCACAUGAUUGUGGAUAGGAAUUGUUGAUUGAUGUUACAGGGAUAAAACAUUAUUGAUGGACUUUUAACAUGGAGAAGAUAAUAGACCCUAUGGUCUAUUUGACUCUUCUAAUGGAUUGUUCGUUCCGCUGCAACUAUGGUUGAAAAGUUUUAUCAUGUAUCAUAUGUUCUAAAUCUCUGAUUUAUUAUUGACGAAAGCUAUUGAUAAUUUAAUUAUCUUUAGUCAUGAUAUUCUUUACUGGGCUAGUUGUGCUCACCCUUUUGCUUCACAAUUCCUUUCAGGUAAUAAGAGUGUUGCCGAGUCGAGCGGGGAUAACAGGGGAAUAGAACGGUGGUCUAUAGCUGUUGAAGUUCUCCCUAAAUAGGAUGGAAAUAAUUUUAUUAAGAACUUUAGAUAAGGGUGUCAUAUUGUAUACGUCAUUUGAUAUUUAAUUUUGGUGAACCGAAUAGGGUGAGGUGAACCCAACUUUGGAAGGGCGUUUUUUCCACUAUCAUACAAGAUGUCUAAUGAUAGACGACUUCGUGUUAUCAUAAGACAAGGUUGUGCACAUCCACUUGCUGAGUAUAUCUACGAGCACUACCUAUAUAAUCUUGGAGUUUAUUUGAAAUAUAAUUCUCACUUGGAGACAACGGAGAUAAUUAUAUGUCAAGAGAAGACUUACCAUUGGAAAGAAGAUUAUAGCAAUCUUUUUGUUUUUCUUUGAGGACUAUUGGUCAACCAAGGAUAAUUCUAUGGACAUAUGAUAUCUAUCAUAACCUAGACGCAUGGCCUCCCAUGUACGGAGGUUUACUUGAGCACUUCCCAAAUAUUUUAAUUUCUAAAACAGUUUUUGACUGUACUUUUAUGUAAAGUACAAUUGUAAGGUUGUGAUUGAGGCACCAUGAGAGUUACAUACAUUUGUAUUAAAACUCACAGUUUAACUGUGGUCGUAUUCUGCACGACAGUUCAAUAGUUGUAUAAAUGAAGUUUGUAUUUGAUUUUUAUAGUAUGAUAUCUGGCGACUCAGAAUGGGUCGUGUGGACCUAUUUUGGGGGCGUCACAAAUGGUAUCAGAGCUUAGGGAUAUGGUCGUUGGCGGAGAUAAGAGUCUAGAACUAGGAGGGGAGAGACGAGUUAUAUACUUCGCUAGUGUGUGACUUACCUAAGCUGAAAUUGUUUACUUGAUAAGUUGACAAAUUGUGAUAUGUCAAUUAACCUUUGUUUUGAAGAUAUAUUCUAGAAUGAUAUCUGAAAUAUAGGAGAUGAGCAAUGGGAAAAUCAUGAUACAGAGGAUAUAACCGGGAAGGUACAAUCCAAAAAGAAAGCAAGGUAUUCUCAUCUCUUCGAAUACCAGGUACGUACAUAAAUUUCAAGGGCGAAAUUUCAUAAGGAGGGGAGAUUGUAAGACCCCGAUUUUUAUGAAAUGAAAGUAUUCAAUUUUCUUAUAAUUAUUAUGUUUAGUAAAUGGUUAAACUUAGAAAAGGUUAAAGUUAAGGGUGAUAUGUGAAAUUUUUUCAAAGUAAGCAAGUUGUCAUAAAAUAAUCGGUGGUAAAAAUAUAGUAAUACGCGUGGUUGCAUAGUAGCACACAGUAUUGAUUAUUGAUGCUUACGUGAAAAGUCACUCAGUUUUAUUCAAUUAUUGUCAUAAUAUUUUAUAUUAUUAAAUCAAUAAUUGAGACAGCAAAGUUAUUCAUAUUAUUAUUUGCAAUAUUGACAAUGUCUAGAAGUUCUGUCAAAGAGAGGUUUGGUCAUCUAAUUGUGCGCCAAUAAGGAGAAAUCUUUAUCGGAAAGCCCCCUCUUUCCUAGGAACGACCUGGUUGUUAAAUAUUGCGAAUUAUAAUAAUAAUGAAUAAAUGUUAUUAAAAAUCGAAUUUGAGUUCGGAGUUGAAUUUAGAGACGCGGACGUGAUAUUUGAGUCCAGAACGAUGGAAUUAGUAAAAAUAAACGGUAAACACAAAAUUUUUCGGGGUUAACUUUUUGGUCAAAAAGUCAACUGUUGAUUUUUUUAGAAAAAGUCAAACUUCAAAUUUUCAAAAAUAAAAUUUUUGAUAAAAAUAGUUCCAUUGUGUUGGAAUUAUUAAUAUUAGUGGAAAUCGACAUUUAUUUCGAUAUUAAUUGAUGUCUGGAGGUUAUAUUGACCAAUCGGGUAAUUCACUGGAUAAAUGAGCAAUUAAUUGUUAUUAAUUCACAUGAUUAUAACUAUUUGUUCACAUGUAUGUACUAUUGAUUCACAUUCUUGUACUAUUAGGGGAGUUGGUGCAAGAUUGAUAAUACUUGUAUGACUUAGUUAAAAAUGAAGGAAUAAAUGGAGGUACUAUAUUGUAAUUCGUAUUUUCACAUGAUUAUAACUAUUUAUUCACAUGAUUGAACUAUUGAUUCACAUUAUUUACUAUUAGGGGAAGUGGUGCAAGUUUGAUAAUACUUGCAGGACUAAAUUAAAAAUGAAAGAAAAGUUGAAGGUAUUGUACUGUAAUAUUUUGAGCCCCAAAACGUGCAAUUAUCGAAACUAUAUUUUCCUAUAAAUAGAAGCUCAUUCUUCCUUCAUUUCUCACCAAUUCACUAAAGCUAUAGAGCAAUUAUUAUAGAGAGAAAUUAUAGAGAGAAAGAAGAAAAGAAGUUUUCUACCUCACUAUUCCAGUAUCCAGUCUUCUUUUGAGGUAAGAGAUAUUAUUAUUAUAGUAAGGGGUAUUAUUUCUUUCAUAUUCAUGAAGAGAGCUAUUGUUAUUCCAUUCCUUAUUAUUCUGUUGGAAUAACCUGUAUACGCGGACUAUCGUAUAUAAGGUGAAAUUCUUAUGUUAUUUCAUUCUUUAUUAUUAUGUUGGAAUAUCAUGUCUGUGCGGAUUACGCAUAACCUGGUUCCAUUCUUUAUUAUUCUGUUGGAAUAACCUGUCUUUGCGGUCUAUUGCAUGCCUGGUGAAUUCUGUUGUUAUUUCAUUCUUUAUUACUCUAUUGGAAUAUCCUGUCUGUGCGGAUUACGCAUGACCUGCUUCCAUUCUUUAUUAUUCUGUUGGAAUAUCCUGUCUGUGCGGAUUACGCAUGACCUGGUUCCAUUCUUUAUUAUUCUGUUGGGAAUAAUCUGUCUGUGCGGUCUAUCGCAUGCAUGAUGAAUUCUUCUGUUAUUCCAUUCUUAAUUAUUCUGUUGGAAUAACCUGUCUAUGUGAAUUACCGCAUGCAUGGUGAAUGAUCCUUUGUAUUCAUUCCUUAUUAAAUUGUGGAAAUUAUCUGUCUACGUGGAUUACCGCAUGGCGGGUGAAAAUCCAUUUGCAGUUUUGUAAGUAUUCUGACCCUCAAAAAUUUUGAAAAAAUUUGAAAUGAUAAUUUGAUGAGUUUUCUAGACUGUGUCCAAAAAUGGAGAUUUUUGGUUGUAUAGAUUAGGAGUUAUGAAUUUUAUGGAAAAGACUAUUUUAAAAGUAAACCCUUAUAACUCCUUAUGGUUAACUCCAAAAUUGGUGAAAUUUUUAUUGGGAGUACAUGUAUAUAACAGAAUUAUACCUUGUAAAAUUUCGGAAUUUUUGGACAAAAGUAUAAUUUAUGAUAAAUGUCUAAAUAUUCGGCAGUUUUGGCCAUAUGAAAAAUAGUAAAUAAAUUUUAAAAAUUUCGAGAACAAUAUAUGUUCAAUAUGGGACUAUAUUCUGAUAAAUCCCAGAAAAGAAAUAUUUUUGGGACUGAUUUGGUAUUUUUCAUGAAAAUGAACUAGUUAUGAGUAAAUGAAUUAAAUAUGUUAUGUGAAGUAACAAAAUUGAAAAAUAGGAUUUUAUGGCUUGGGAAUCCUAUAUAGGGUAUAUGCAGAUUUUUGAUGAGGGAUUUGAUCAUUGGUGAUGAAAUCUUAUGAGUAUGGCAUUUUUGAAUGAUUAAAUGCAUUAUUUGGUAAAGUGUAAACAAUUGAAAUAAAUUGUUUAUAAGUUUAAGAAGUGAUUAAAAUAUUGUUAUAAUAUUAAUAAUAUUAGAUUAUGAGUUUAUUAAGUGAUUGAUAAUAUUUGGAUAAAUUUAAAGUCUUUAAUAUUUAUCCUUAUUUUCGUUUGAUUAAUGUUUAUAUCAUUGUCAUAAUCCUCAUGCUUAUAUUGUGAUGAAAGUCAUCUUUGGCUUACGUGGGCUUACGUGCAAAGAUGGACUGUUGAUUAUUGGUUUUAUAGUUGUAUAUCUUUGGCUUAUGUGCAAAGAUGGACCGUUGAUUAUUUGUUUUAUAGUUGUAUAUCUUUGGCUUACAUGCAAAGAUGGACUGAUGAUUAUUGAUUUUAUAGUUGUAUAUCUUUGGCUUACGUGCAUUGAUGGACAGUUGUUGGUAUGAUUAUAAUCAGGGAUUAUUCGGUAUAAUCAUGACCAUUCUUGAAAACACGAAUAUCCUUGGCCCGUAGUGCAUGGAUAAUUCGUGGUCGUAAUACUAAUGAAUAUCAUUGGCCGUAGAGCAGGGAUGAUUCGAUGCUAUGGAUUAAUUAUUAAGCUGAGUUUCAGCGAUAACAUAUUGAUAAUAAACUUUUAAUUCAUAGAAGAUAGUAGAUAUCAUGCUCUACUUGACACUUUUAUAAUACAGUUGUAUGUCUUUGGCCUGUAGAGCAAAGAUGAAUUGUUAAUGAAUAUCUUUGGCUCGUAGUGCAAAGAUGAAUUUAUUAGUAUGAUUAUGAACAAGAAUUAUGAUUUGGUAUAACCAUGAUUUUGAUGUUUCAGGUAAAGACAGGUGAUGAAAAUUAUCUUCGUCCUGGGUGCGAAGAGGAAUUUAGAAUCCCAAUUAUGAUAAUGAGUUAUUCACAUGAUUGUGGACAGGAAUUGUUGAUUGAUGUUACAGGGAUAAAACAUUGUUGGUGGACUUUUAACAUGGAGAAUAUAAUAGACCCUAUGGUCUAUUUGACUCUUCUAAUGGAUUGCUCGUUCCGCUGCAACUAUGGUUAAAAAGUUUUAUCAUGUACCAUAUGUUCUAAAUCUCUGAUUUAUUAUUGAUGAAGGCUAUUGAUAAUUUAAUUAUCUUUAGUCGUGAUAUUCUUUACUGGGCUAGUUGUGCUCACCCUUUUGCUUCACAAUUCCUUUUAGGUAAUAAGAGUGUUGCCGAGUCGAGCGAUGAUAACAGGGGAAUAGAACGGUGGUCUAUAGCUGUUGAGGUUCUCCCUAAAUAGUAUGGAAAUAAUUUUAUUGAGAACUUUAGAUAAGGGUGUCGUAUUGUAUACAUCAUUUGAUAUUUAAUUUUGGUGAAUCGAAUAGGGUGAGGUGAACCCAACUUUGGAAGGGCGUUUUUGCCACUAUCAUACAAGAUGUCUAAUGACAGACGACUUCGUGUUAUCAUAAGACAAGAUUGUGCACAUCCACUUGCUGAGUAUAUCUACGAGCACUACCUAUAUAAUCUUAGAGUUUAUUUGAAAUAUAAUUCUCACUUGGAGACAACGGAGAUAAUUAUAUGUCAAGAGAAGACUCACCAUUGGAAAGAAGAUUAUAGAAAUCUUCUUGUUUUUCUUUGGGGACUAUUGGGUCAACCAAGGAUAAUUCUGUGGACAUAUGAUAUCUAUCAUAACCUAGACGCAUGGCCUCCCAUGUACGAAGGUUUCCUUGAGCACUUCCCAAAGAUUUUAAUUUCUAAAACAGUUUUUGACUAUACUUUUAUGUAAAGUACCAUUGUAAGUUUAUGGUCGAGGCACUAUGAGAGUUAUAUACAUUUGUAUUAAAACUCACAGUUUAACUGUGGUCGUAUUCUGCACGACAGUUCAAUAGUUGUAUAAUGAAGUUUGUAUUUGAUUUUUAUAGUAUGAUAUCUUGCGACUCAGAAUGGGUCGUGUGGACCUAUUUUGGGGGCGUCACAUUCGUGGUCAAACCACGUUGACCGGCAUUGACCGGGAGAUUUUUGGGUAACCCAGAUUUCCCCAGGUCGGUCUGACAGCGAGUUCAUGGGCUUUAAUCUAUUAGUUGUUUAUUGCUUUGUUUAUGUUGUUGUAACAAGAUUGUUGUAUGGUAUAUGGACUAUAGAUUAAGGCUUAUAGAUCACCUAAAUAACAUACGAAUUUGAUUUAAUUGAUGAUCAAACUAGCCUGGACGAUCAUGAUUGAAGUUUUCUAAGUAACCUAGAAAACUUAAGAACACGGUUCUGACAUGGAUUUGACCAGACCUUAUCUGCUUGAUUUGUUGUUAUGAUGAUGUUAUGUAAUAGAUCUGUACACCUACAUGUUGUCUACAAUCUAGGACUUUUAAAUCACUAAACCAUUACAUGAACCACAAGUUGUGGAAGCCCAAAUAUGAACAGUCGAACUGUUGUUCAUUUUUGGGCAAACCCAGAAAUGAAGAACAGCUCUGACAGCCACUUUAGAUGCCCAGAUCUCCUUUGUUAUGUAUUGUGUGAUCAUGAUUGUUGUUAUAACAUGUAGUAUUACAUUAGUUCUACAAACAAUGAUCAAUAGAUAGCCCAGAAAACAUCAUGAUCUGAUCAGCAAUCUUGGUCAAAGUAGGCCACUUGAAAACUGACAUGAAUGUUCUAGGUUUUGCCAAGAACAUGAAGAACACCUAUAGCGACGGUUCUGUCGCUUUAGGCAGCGACACUUUAUUUCUAAAAUUAAUUAUUUUAUUUAAUAAUUAGAGAAAAUUAGUUUUUAAUUAUUUAAAAUACAAAUUUAAUUACUAAAAAUUAUUUUAAAGUCUGAAAAUUAGUUUUUAAUAAUUUUUAAUAUAUUUUAUAAAUAUUUAAUAUUUUUGAAAUAUUAAAGGUAUUUAAUUUAUUUAAUUAUUAUAUUAAAUAAAUUAUUUAAAAAUGAUUUUAAUACUUGAAAAAUUAUUUAAAAUUAUAUUAUGAUAUAAGAAAAUAUUUUAAGUUAUUUUUAAUGACUUUUAAUAUUUUGUGAUAAAUUUUAUUAAUAAAUUAAUAUUAAUGAUAAUUAAGUUAUUUAAUAAACGCAUUAAAUAAAUUAAUUAAAAAUGAUUUUAUUAUAUUAAAAGUCAUUUUAAAUAAUAAUAAGGUAUAUAAAAAUAUUUGAAGUUAUAAAAUAUAACUUUCAAUAUUUAAAGGUAAAUUUCAUUAAUAAUGAUAUUACAAUUAUUUAAUAAUUAUAUUAAAUAACUUCGUUUAAAAAUAAUUUUAAUAUUAUAAAAAUUAUUUCAAAUGAAAUUAAGGUGUUUAAAAAUAUUUGAAGUUAUAAAAUAUAACUUUUAAUAUUUAAAGGAUAAUUUCAUUAAUAAUGACAUUAAUUUAAUAUUAAUGAUAUUAAAUUUAUUUAAUAAUUAUAUUAAAUAAAUAGUUUUAAAAUAAUUUUAUUGAUUUAAAAAUCAUUUAAAAAGGAUAUAAUUGAAUUAAAAAUAUUUUAAGUUAUAAUUAAUGACUUUUAAUAUUUUGAUAAAUAGUACAUUAAUAUUUAAAUAUUAAUGAUAAUUAUUGAAAAAUGAUUUUAAAUGUUUUAAAAAUCAUUUAAGGGUAAUAGCAGUACUUUAAAAAUAUGUUAAGUUAUUAUAAAUAACUUUGAUAUUUUGGCAAUGGUUUCAUUAAUAGUUUAAUAUUAAUUAAAUAUUAAUGAUAAUAAAAUUAUUUAAUAUUUAAAUCAUUUAAUAAUUAUUUCGGUGGUUGAAAAAUCAUGAUAAUUAAUUAAAAAUUAUUAUAAGUCAUUUAAAAAUAAUAUGAUUGAUAUUUAUAGUUAUUGAAUUACAGGAUGGAGUCUUAGACUCGAUAAUUACCCGAUAAAGCCGUCGGUACACCGACAUGUUUCAAAAAUUGAUCUGGACUUAGAUAAUUUGAUUAGAUGCGUGUUUGUUUAUGAUCCAAUGAUUGUUAAACAUGUGUGAUAAUGUGAUUAGGUUAUGUGCUGACUGCAAUAAGCAGUAUUAUGUGUUACAAUAUGUUAUUCUAAUCAGUAAAAUGAUCUUAUUACUGAUAAGUUGCUAUAUAAAAGAUAAAACUAAGUUGCAUAACUGUAAGCAGCAGACCAGGCAAGUAUCCUACCUUUGCAUUUACUUUAUACAAUUGACAUAAAUAAGAAAGUUUUAGAAUUAUAUUAUUAUUAUGCCAGAUUAUUAACCCUAUUGUUAUAUAUAUUAUAUCCGAUCAUUGUUUAUCAGCAUAGUAUUAUAUUAUAAUUCAAAUAUUUUUUCUGUUUGUUAAUUUCUAUAUAUGGUUCUACAAGUGUCCUCACUUGGAUAAUCAUUGUAUUUAAUCACAUGUUGAUACACAUUUAUAAAUUUUCAGUAUGUAUAUGUUAACUUAAAAGCCGUCUAAGCUAAUUGAUUUGGCUAGACACAAACUUAUAGAUUAUUGUUGCACAAGAUAAAAUCUUACUAUUAUCCAACCGAAUUAUUUUGAUUCGGAUUUCCGACUAAGUAUAAACAUCACGUAUAUGGGAAAAUUUUUGUGCGCCAAAGACGGUUAAGAUGAACGAUAAUAUCGUUCUUUCAUGUAGUAUUAAUCAAUACAGGGCAUAAAGGGCUGAUCACCCCCCGUGCCCGUAAGUUAUGACGGUUUGUAGAUGAAGUUCUGUUUAACCUUUUCGAAAAUAAAAAACAAUGUUCAUAGUCUGUCGACUAAUCCCCAGAUAUAGUCAGUACGUAGUUUCAAAAAUUUGAUAUAGAAUUAAUAUAUUAUUAUUGGUUCAGUUUACUUCACAACUAUUGAUUCGUUGUAAAAGUGUCGUACAAAGAAAAUAUUUAAUCCUUUCAGCUAAUAUUUAUAAUUGCUAUUACUUGCUGGGCACUCAAAUACUCAUCCUUGCUUAAUUUAAAAUAUUUUCAGCUAAGUGUGAACAACUAGAAGGCUCGGCUAAGAACAAAAGGAAAGGGAAGGUUGCAGAAUAAGUUGGUGCUAUUUUAUGUAAUAGUGUAACUUUAUUAAGACUAUGAUAUUAUUAUUAUCAUGUAUUAUAAUAAAUGUAUUAAAGGUUACGUACUUGGGUUUAAACUCUGAUAAAUAUGUAAUUUAAGUUUGAUAUCUAUAUUAUUGUUAUUAUUAUUAGUAUUAUUCUACUCAUAGAAAUGGUAUCGUGAAGCACCGAGUUCGGGUUUCAAGUACCUGAAUUUGGGGGCGUCACAGGUAACCCAAAAAAAAGUGAACAUCCUCUAACGAGAUUGUUAAUUCUCCACAGUUUAAAUAAAAAGUAUUAGUCUCCGGCAGCCAUCUCUCGAUAAGGGCAGAUAUAAGUCCAAGGUCAUUUUGGUGUACAACACCUCGAAAACUAAAAACUCCAAACCCACAUUUAUCUAAAAGGAUUUUUUGUUCUUUUAUCAAAUUCCACUGUUUAUAUUUUUGUUCAGUAUAUUGACUCGAGCCUAGUUUUCCCCUAUCUUUCCCAUGAUAUAUGUCUUCUGAUACAUGAUCUUAUUGAUCAUGGAGAACACUUGGAUCAAUUGGCUUAUAUUCCAAGCUGUCCAUCUUUUACCUAAAUACACAACAAUAAUCCAUUAUUAGUAUUAAGAUUUAGAUAAUAAUUUGACUGAUAAUAAUAUUAAUAAUAUUUAUAUAUGAAAUACUAACAAAAAUAGUUUUUCAAACAUACAUGACAAAAACAGUUUAAACAUGCAUGACAAAAUAAUAAGCUGUAACAUGCAUGACAAAAACAAAAAUAAUAAUGAUUAUUUAUAUAAUAAUUUAAUAGUAUAAUAUGCAUGAUAAAAUAAUAAAUAAUAACAUGCAUGAUAAAAACAGCAAUAAUAAUGAUUAUUUAUAUAAUAAUUUAAUAGUAUAACAUGCAUGACAAAAUAAUAAAUAAUAACAUGCAUGACAAAAACAACAAUAAUAAUUACUAUUUAUAUAAUAAUUUAAUAGUAUAACAUGCAUGACAAAAUAAUAAAUAAUAACAUGCAUGACAAAAACAGUUUAAACAUGCAUGACAAAAACAACAAUAAUAAUAAUUAUUUACAUAAUAAUUUAAUAGUAUAACAUGCAUGAAAAAUAAUAAAUAAUAACAUGCAUGACAAAAACAACAAUAAUAAUUACUAUUUAUAUAAUAAUUUAAUAGUAUAACAUGCAUGACAAAAUAAUAUCAAUAACAUGCAUGACAAAAAUAGGAUUAACAUGCAUGACAAAAACUAUUAUUGCAUGUAAUGAGCAAAACAGUAGGUAUCUAGUGUUUGAGUGUAAUGAGUUAUUAUCAUUUAUGUGACGCCCCCAAAUCCGGGUCCCUUCGAACCUCGGACCCGGUCCGCCACGAUACUACUAUUGUCAAACUAUUUAUAUUUUGUAUUCAUAACUUAAUGAAUAUAACUUUACUUAUUACAAUUUAGAAUAUAAAUUCUUUCCAUUUCCAGGAUCUAUGUAAUGACCCCAAACUUUUAUAAGUUUCAAAUCUUGGUCAUUUAUCAUUCUUGUCUUACAUCAUAUUUGAUGUUAUAAAAAUAUGCGGAAUAAUUUAAACUUUUUCAAUCUCCUUUGAAAAUAAAUCUUUUAUUGAUAUCUUAACUUGAAUCAAUUACAAAUCCUUGAAUCAAAUUAUGUUAUGAUUCAUUCUAUUCAAAAUUACUGUAUAAAUCUUUACACCUCGAUUCGAACUCCUCUAUGUAUCUCAUAGUACAACUUAACAUGUAUUACACAUCAUAAACUACUAUCAUGUACAUUUUCUAGAACCUAAACAUGGUUCAAGAGUAUAUAUUUAAACAAAUGAAUUAAUCUCCUUUAAUAUUAUUGAUCUUUAUCAAUCAAGUAGCACGUAAUCUUUACCGUGUGUUCUUAACCUGCAAAAGUGGUUAUUUGCAAGGGUGAGCUCGUCAGCCCAGCAAUUCUAACAGUUUUCAUGCAGCACAUAACAUAUAAUAGCAUAUUCAGUUCAUGCAUUCAUAAUCAAUUAAUAUUUAAUACGCAUGUUACUUCUCACAUAAUAGGCAUAGAUAUUUACUUCACAAGCAUAUCAUCAAAGAUCAACUUUUAACUUUUAUACAUAUCUCAUAUGCAUUUCAUAUAUAUACAUCAACAUUCGCAUAACAUAAUAUAGCUCAACUAACAGUUAUAGAAUUCAUAUAUCAAAUAGGAACUGAAAGACUUGCCUGAUUUGUAGUUUAUUAACUAUGACUUAACUUCUUAACGCUUAUCUGUACUUCGUGUAUUCCUACAUAGUUAUAUAGUCAUGGAUUCAUACUGAUUAGUCAUAUAUUCAUACAUUCUCAAUGUAAUAAUAAUGUUACAUUAUUUCCUAACUAGGUUCGUAAAACCUACACUUCACUUUCUCAUCAUAUUCUUAGAAUAGCUAGGUAUGUAUAGGUAUACCUUAACCACUCAUACUUGAUCACAACAUUCAUAAAUCUAUCACACACUUGACUCACUAUGUGUUCGACACAUUUAAAACUCAUAUACGUACAGAUAAACGUCUAACUUAGUUAUAACUUCAUACCACAUCACCUAUCCUAUAUUUUCAUAACACAAAUCAGAUGGUAAGACAUCACAAAUUCAAACAACGUAUCAUUGUUUUAUAUCUUGAAAACAUUCUUUUGGAUUUAACAUUUGAAAGUCAUAAUUAACAUUCAUCGCUAUCACAUAGCAUGCUUCCUACACAUCACAUAGUAUAUUGGUCACAUAUUAUAAGUUAAAGAAAUCAAAUAAGCAUGCCUCGAACUUCAAAUCAAAAAUAGAACUAUUCAUGACUAUAGGAUGGCGCAGCUGUGCCCUGUCUAGGCUUAGGGAUGACGUAGCUGCGCUGUCCCCUGGCUAGACCAAGGUUGAGCUUUGCACUCCUGGUUUCAGUCUAGACUUUAACACACUAAGACUCUUACACUUCACAUGCAUACAUGCUAGAGGUCUUUAUAUAAGUAUAUGACCACUCUUAAGUUCAUUGUUACAAGUUUUAGUUCACGACUUUCUAUGAAAUUAAAACAUAAAGGUCAUGUAUUCAUCAUGCUUUAUAACUUUGGCCAUAUUUCUACAUAUAGAGGUCUCACAAUCUGUUCAUACAUAUGAUCAUGGUGUUCAUAUUAUUUAUUCAUAACUAGCAUUGUUUAACACUUUGAAACAUGCUUAAAACUCAUGCUUGAUUAAAUUAUCUUUGUACCCAAAACAUGACAUCUUAAAUCUUUAAAAUCUAACUACUCAAACUUAAUGCAACUUGAUUUGAAAACAUUUUCAAGUUCGCCUUUGAAAUCAUUUUAAACUUGAACAAUGCAAUUCAACACAUACAAGACAAAUUUAAAGCUCUUAUCAUAUAUAGUUAAGGCAUGUUAAUAUCUUCACAAGAUCAGAAUGUACAUCAUGUAGUAUUCAUGCAUACUUUCUUUGAUAUAUAUCAUGCUUUUCUUUUAAAACAUUUUCUAACACAAAGCUAAUAAGUUUGAUCAUGACAAGACACUAUAAACUUCAUAUUAUGCUCAUUCACAUCUGAAAUCAAUCAUGUGUAUAACAUACUAAGCUCAGAACUUGUAGAACAUGAGUUUCAACAAAGUUCAUUUUCAAAACAUAAAGUUUUUGUUAUAAAUCUUUCACUAAUCAUGUUGAUCACUUCACAACACAUAAUAAAGCUUUAUAAAACAUGUUAUACCUCAUUUAUAUGUAUAUAAAAGUCAUAGAACCAAGUUUGCAACAAAUUAGCCCAACAAAAAUUAGUAACUGAAUCUGAGUUACGGCGCAGCUGCGCUGCACCCUAGUAUAAAUAGGGCGUAGCCGUGCCAUGCCUGGAACAGAAGCAGUGACCUGCUCUAUUUUGUAGAGCCUUACCCAACUUUGAUUCUUUUCGAUUUAAACAUGUUCCAAUCCAUCAUUUAAGAGUUCAUAUAUGUAAGCAUACCUCCUAAUCACAUCAUAGCAUGUUAAUUCAUAUCAAUUGACAUAGGAUUCUAAAGAAUUUCAAGAAUUUAGCAAAAACCCAACUAAGAACAAAAGUUAAGAUUUUAUACCUCCUGAAGCUUAAUAAUCUUAAUUUCUUCCUUCUGAGAUAUCUAGCCUCUCCUUUGAACAACAACUCACUUAAUCUCAAUUAUCAGAGUUUUAAUGGACAAAAGCAAAUAACAAAAACACUGAGAAAUAAAACUCCUAUUUAUAGAGAAAUGGUGAACUGGCUAAAAGAUUUACACAAAAGAUUGCAUCCAUGGUGUAGAAGAAAAACCCACUGGUUAAUGAAGAGUGGUUCAACUACCAUUUCCUAGCCAUUGGCCUAACAAUCAUCACCUAAGCUUAGCCACUUGGAAGUUACGUAACUUAGCUUCUAGAUCACUGUUCAUGUACCUUUGUGCCACUCAAUUUGGGAUAAGAGAACAAUCUCAGCAACUUAUUAUUCUAAGGCUUGGUUUUGGUUCUUUAAUUCCCAUAAUGUAAUAUUAAGGUACAAUUAUUACCAUAUUAGAAAAAUUAGGGACUAUUUAUAUACUCACAUCAUAUAAUCCAUGUACAUUAGAUACAUGCAAUAAAAUAACACAGUUAGGUAUUAUUGUUUGGGUAGUUUUAUAAUUAACUCUACUACUCACAUAACCAUAUUAUAACCUUAUUUAUGUUUAUUUAAACAUUUAAUUCCUCUCUCAGUUUCUAGAAUACACAGAUAUUUAAUCAUUUAUGUAUUAAAAUUACAUAUGACAUCAUUGCACUACUUGGUACCUUAUAUCAUUAGUCCCAAUUAAAUGUCACACUUCAUGUAUUCUUAGGCCAUAGGUAUUAUAUAUUACUACCGCCCACAUUUUCCAUAUAGUAAUAUUAUUAAUAUUUUAAUUGGGCUAAAUAUCAAUCAGUUGGGUACUUUUAACCCAUUAUCACCUUUUAAUAUCACAAUAAUUAAUUAAUAUUAAUCAUUUAUUUUUUUUUAAUAAUUAUUAUUAUGCACUCCACUAAUUAAUAGAAUAUAGUAUUCCAUAAUAUCACUUAAUUAACCAAUAUUUAUUCCGGGUUAAUUAAUUAAAUCGUUAUUCAAGUCAUGUUUUGCUAACUAAAUUCCUUCAUGAUCACUUAGUCACCAUUUAUGACCAUUAUAUGAGUCUCUAGUCUUCAUUCCUUAAAACAUAAAUUCCACAGCCUUACUCAGAAUUUUCUACAGACCGGUGCAACUGCGCUGGUCAUAGGCUUGUAAAUGGCGCAGCUGCGCCAUACCAAAAUCAGAGGCAAACAAGUUCUGCCUUAGCAGAAAUAAAACCUACGCUUACACAUCCUCCUUAAGCGUUAAUUCGUCUAACAUUAAUCUCCUCUUUGAUUCCACAUCCUUGGUUACUAUUUUCCUUAACAAUUUAAGGAUCACACUUCAAGUUUUAAAACUCUAUUUCACUUAUUAGUUUAACCAACUAUACAUCUCCGUUACGGUUUCUUAUCACCAAUAACACAAAACUCGAAUAUAACACAUACAUACAUUCCUUAAUCCUCACUUCUCGCAGUGUAUCAAUUUACUCAAUAAUUCUCUAACCACCUUAAAGGUAUAUCGAUUUUCUUUUCUCGUCAACAACGUACACGCAUACAAGUCUAAACCUAGCACGCGUCGAGUCUUUAAUAGUAUUCAAUGUAGUACACUGAGUGGUUUCCCACAAACAACCAGCAAAUUAUUUUUUGUCUCGUCUACACUGCUUUCACAAUGAGUUAGAUCGGUUACUAAUUCGUAUAUACCUCCGCUCUCUGAAGAAAUUAUUUAGCCCAACUCCUAUACAUCCACCAUUAAAGGUACGGUUGCACUGCCUUAGACUUGAUACUCACUCGUACAUGUACUCAAGAAAUUGGUGAUUAUCAAAGAUAUUUUAAUGUCACCAACUUACUAUUAUAAAAUAAUUAUUUAAUAUAAAUAGAUAAAUUUUAUCCAUCUUCUUUACUAAUUUAUUUCUACAAUUUAUAAAAAAUAUAUAAUAAUGAUAUAUAUUUAUUAAACACAACAUCACUUAUUACAUAGCUCAUAUUACCCUAUGUAACAAAAUACCACAUACCUCGUAACAUAUUUAUAUAUUCUUGUUUGAACCCAUCUCAUGCUUUAAGAAUUUUAUUUACUAAAUUCUUAUUUUAAUGUUUUCUAAAAAUUCGUGUUCUUACAAUUUAUAUAAUUUAAUAGUGUUAUUUUAUUAUUAUAAGAAAAUAAUAAUAAAAUAAAAACUGUUAAAAACUGAACAAUAACAAUAAUAUAAUAACAAUACCAAUAACAAUAUCAAUAUCUUACCAAUAUUAUUAUUAUUUACAAUGCCAAUAAUAACAAUGUCAAUAAUAAAAACAAUAACAAUAAUAUUAAUAAUAAUAUUAAAUACCAAUAACAAUAUCUUACAAAUAAUUUUGUGUCUUCAAAAUGGGUGUAUGUAAUCCAGCCGGUUCAACUUGUGUCCCAGUUUGCUUCUCUCUCUUCCUCUCUCUAUGAUUUUUCUCUAGCUUUAUGUUACUGAACUUUAGAAAUACUCCUCUCUUACUAGAUGGUUAAAUAAGCUCAAGCACUAGCUGGUACAAGUUCUUUUUUUCGGACAAAAUUUAAAACCAAACUCAGCUUUUUAGUUUUCGAAUGUCAACUUUUCAGCUUUUUACUUUUUCCAUGUUGCAUGUGUUCUUUCCCGAGGUGAUGUGGCAGAAAAAUUAGUCAAAGAGCUAAAGCUAACUGUUCGGGAUUAUUAUUAUUAUUAUUAUUAUUAUUAUUAUUAUUAUUAUUAUUAUUAUUAUUAUAAUACUAAUAAUAAUAAUAUUAAUAAGUAAAGCCGUGACAGCUUAUUUCGGUCUGGCUUAUUAUUAUUAUUAUUAUUAUUAUUAUUAUUAUUAUUAUUAUAAUUUAUAAUAAUAAUAAUAAUAAUAAUAAUAAGUAAAGCCAUGACAGCUUGUUCCGGUCGGGCUUAUUAUAAUUAUAUUAUUAUUAUUAUUAUUAUUAUUAUUAUUAUUAUUAUUUUAUUAAAUUAAGAGUAAUAAUAAUAAUAAUAAAGAGUAAAAAAAUAAUUAAUAAUCCUGGCCGCUACAAGCUGUACCUUUUUACAAUAAAAAAUUAAAAAAAAUUCUGGAAGUGCUCGGCCACUACAAGUUGUACCGGCUUACAAUAAAAAAUUAUAAAAAAUCCUUUUUUGCUCCUUAUCAGAUUCGAACUCGCAACCUCCCACUUCAAACCCGCGUCAUAUGACCACCCGAACACCACGGGCCUAGCUGUUCCUUUCUCGCAAGGAUUAGUCUUUAUAUUAAAACUUUACAUUUCCCCUCAUCCAUAUAUUAUUAUUUUAUUAUUAUUAUUCUAUUAUUAUUAUUAUUAUUAUUAUUAUUUUAUUAUACAAACAAAACCGCUACAUAUUGUAGCGGCUCUUCAACUUUUUAUUAUUUUAUUAUUAUUAUUAUAUUUCUUUUAUUAUUUUAUUAUUAUAAAUAUUAUUAUUUUAUUAUACAAAACAAAACCGCUACAUAUUGUAGCGACUUAUAAUUUUAUUAUUAUUAUUAUUAUUAUUAUUAUUAUUAUUAUUAUUUUAUUAUACUAUCUGUUCAUUUGUUAUUAUUUUAUUAUUAUACUAAAUAUUUUAUUAUAUGUCCUUGAGAGAUAGAUAAUUUUUUGUGUAUACCAACGUGGUCAAACGUAAUAAUGAUAGACUAUCAUGUACACUAUGGGAAUGGGAAAAACUGACAUUGGGAAUGGGUAAAAUAAAUAAAUUUGAUGCAUUGAGCAUUAGCCGCUACAACAUGUAGCGACUGGUCUUUUUACCCUUUUAAUAUUCUUUUGCAAGCUGAUAUUUCCUCAAGUUAUCUUUCUAUCCUUCCUUUCCCACAUCUCCUCCAGUUUGGUUUAUGCUCUCGGAUAUUAAUUUCUCUUUUCACAUCUACACAGAAUUUGUACCAUCUGGUUGCCCAUGCACUUUCACUUCCCAAGUUCAAGUUGAAGUUCUGAUCGAGCAAAAUUCUUCACUAUUAUUCAAAAGUAAGUUUUUCAAAAAAAAGUAUUUUUAUCUACCUCUUAAGAUUGUGUUGCAAGUUUAAAUUGUGAAAAUACAUUUGAGUUUGUCAGUGAAGUUGAAAGUAGUAAAUCUAAAAUUGUUCCGUACGUUGGUCAAUUAUUUUGUAAGUUGGAAGAGGUUGAAAAUUUUUAUAGAUCAUAUGCUCGUAAAAAUGAAUUUGAGAUUAGAAUUGCAACUAGUCAUAAAUAUGCUAAUACGAAUGAUGUAUGAUCUAGGAUGUAUGUAUAUGUAAAAAAGCUGGUACACCAAUUGUUGGAAAGAGUUUACCUGAUGAUGAAGAUGGUAGUAAUAAAAUAACUAGACAGAGAGACUCUAUAGGAUGAACAUUGUGCAAAGCUAGAAUAUAUGUUGUCCACAAUAAGAAAGAAGAUAAUUGGCGUAUUUCUACUGUUGAAUUAGAGCACAAUCAUCACUUAGUGACCCCCACCAAAGUAGAUUUGAUAGAGACACACAGAAAUAUUACUCCUGUUGCAAGAAAAUUAAUUGACACUUUAAAUAAGUCCGAUAUUGGUCGUAGUAAGAUGAUGAAUGUUUUGAGCAUAAUGGGUGGUGGGUUGCAAAAUGUUCCUUUCUCUAAUGUAAAUGUUGAGAAUGUGGUGCGAGAUUUAAGGCGUGAUUCUGCAGAUGAAAAUGAUGCAUAAGCUGCUGUCAAUUAUUUGAAAAAACUUGAAUCUGGAAGUGCAAGUAAAUUUUUUUUCCCCGAGUGAAACCCGGUGAAAACAAUCGCAUAGCUUGUAUUUUGUGGGUUGACGCCCGAUCAAGGUUUAUGUAUCAACAGUUCAGAGAUGUUGUGACAUUUUGAUAGUACAUAACGGACAAAUAAGUAUGGCAUGCCGUUUGUUCCAUUUUUUGGGGUCAACCACCAUUAUCAGUCUAUAUUAUUUGGAUUUGCAUUAUUAAGAGACAAGAUAGAGGACAUUUUCGUUUGGGUAUUAUAGACAUGGCUUGAAGCCAUGGACUACAAGGCACCUACAACCAUCAUCACUGAUCAAGACAGAGCCAUGAGUAAUGCUAUUACUACGGUACUUCCUUCUAGUUAUCAUUUAUUGUGUUCUUGGUAUAUUAGCAAUAAAUUUCCUGAAAAAUUGCAUUAUGUUUAUUCUGAGCACCCAUCAUUCAAAAAUGAUUUUAACAACUGUGUGUAUAAUUCAUUGUCCAUCGAGGAAUUUGAAGAGCGUUGGCAUAUUCUGAUAAGUUCUUAUGAAUUGUAUACCAAUGAAUGGCUUGGAAGUUUGUAUGAUGUAUGACAGAAAUGGAUUCCAGCAUAUACAAAGAGAUAUUUUGCCGCGGGAAUGAUUACCACCGGAAGAAGCGAGAGCAUGAAUAGUUUUUUUGAUGAGUACGUUAAUGCAUCAACAGGUAUGCUAUGUUUUGUACUACAGAGUCAGAAGGCUAUAGAAAAAUAAUUUAUCAAAGAGAGGAAGGUCGACUACAUAACAAAAUAUCGUAAAAGGAUUAUGGUACUCGGUUCAUCUUUAGAAGUUCAUGCUGCAUAAGUGUACACAAAAGAGAUGUUUAUACGUUUCCAAAAUCAAUUCAUCGAUUCCAUGAAAUACAAGGUUCAUAAAUUUAGUGAGUUGUGUGUCACUGAUACUAAGGUUUAUGCAGUGUAUAAUGCAGAUGCAACUGAAAGUGGUGGAAGAUAUAAAGAAGUUGUCAACAAUCGCCAACUAGGAUCGGUAACAUGAAACUGCCAAAUGUUUUCUCACUCUGGUGAAUUAUGCAGGCACAUAUUGAGAUAUAUCAUAACAAAGAGUAUUUCACAAAUACCAAGCAACAUUAUUCUUCAUUGGUGGACAAGAGACGUGGACAAAAGUAAUGGUGAAGACUUACUCUUUAACACCAUAGUUGCUGACUUCGAACAAGAUCAAGCAAUGCGCUAUAAUCAUUUGAUGAGUGAUUACCAGGAGUUAGUGAGUGAAGCGGCUUGCUCAGUUCGAGGUUACAAAACUGUUCUUAAACUGAAUGCACGAGGAAAAGCGUUGGUUGACCAGUAUGAUCCGGAUGAGAAUAUUACUGAAUUGGCAGAUGACGACAUUGAUUGCACGAUUGGAGAUCCAAAUCAUGAUAUGGAAUACGAUAAUGACGAUGAAGAUAUAGAAGUGGAAGCAGAAGAAGAGUUUUUGCCGCCUAUUAUUUCUCAGACAAAGGGCCCCAAAAAACAAUCUAUAUUCAAGAGUGUACUCGAGAAAAUCAUUCCUUCUAAGCGUCAUCGAAAAUGUGCAAUUUGCGGCUUUGAAACUGACCACGAUAAGCGAAAUCACUAUCGAGUGCUAGGGAUUCCUGAGCCAAAAAAAUAGGCAUCGGAUGUAUUAUUUAUGCUAUAUUUUUUUUAUUUUAUGAAAAUGAACAUGUACUCUGUACUAUUCAUGUUAAUGUCAUGUAGUAGUAGUAUUGGUAUAAUCUGUACUUCUAAUAUUGAUAAUCACAUUAUUAUUAAUAUUAUUAUUAUUAUUAUAUUUUGUAAAAUUAAUACAUGAAUAUCAUACUCUCAUACUCAAAUAAUAAUAAUAAUAAUUUAUAUAAUAAUAAUAAUAUUAAUAGUAAUAAUAACAAUAACAACAACAACAACAACAACAAUAAUAAUAAUAAUAAUAAUAAUAAUAAUAAUAAUUAAUAAUAAUAAUAAUUAUUAUUAUAAUACUUAACUACUUUUAUAAAUUAAAAUAAGUAAAAUAAUUUCCUGAAAUGUCCUGAAAAGUUAUGAUCAUUACUUAUUAAACUAAUUGAACUUGAUAUAUUUUCAAACUCAGAACUUAGGAGAAAAUUGAUUUCAUAAUAUUCAAUGGACAUAGUUCAUAAAGGAACAUGACUUCAUAAAAGAAUAUGGCUUAAUUAUUAAUAUUAAUAUAAAAAUAAAUAUUAAGAUUAAUAAAAUAAAUUAUUAUAAUCUUCCAUCAUUUAAAUUCCACUCUACCAAUUUACUACCACUUUCAUAAAUAGAUAUGUCAUUCAUUUCUUAUCAUCGAAACACCAACAUUUUUAAUAAUUUAUAAAAUAAUAUUAAUAAUAAGAAUAAUAAGAAUUGCUGAAUAAUAAUAUUAAACUUAAUAUAAUAAUUAUAUAUAUACAUUUUGGGGGAAAUGUAAUGUUAUUUUAAUAAGACUAAUAAUAAUAAUAAUAAUGCAAGAUGGAAUAUAAUGAUAAUAAUAUAUUUUAUUAAAGACUAAUAUUUAUUUUUAUAUUAACAUUAUUAUUUAUUUUUAUAUUAAUAAUAAUAUUAAAUUAAAAAUUAGAAAAAAUAUUAAAAGGGAUAAUAAUAAUAAUAAUAAUAACAAUUAACUUUUUUCUAUUUUAAUAAACCCACUUUAUUAUUAAUAUUAAUAUAAAAAUAAAUCGUAAUACAAGAGAAAAUGUCUUUUUGGGGGAAAUGUAAAAGUUUUAAUAUAAAGACUAAUCCUUGCGAGAAAUGAACAGCUAGGCCCGUGGUGCUCGGGUAGUCAUAUGACGAGGGUUUGAAGCGGGAGGUUGCGAGUUCGAAUCUGUUUCGGAGCGAAUAGUUUGAAACAAUUAUUUUAAAGGCCAAGGGAAUUUUUUUCAAUUUUUUAUUCCAAGUCGUGACAAGCUGUACCGGCCGACCAUUUUAAAUUUUGAUUUAUUCUCAGCUGCAACAACCUGUACCGGCUGGCCUAUUUUUUAUUUUUAUUUAUGUGAGUUUAAUGUGUUGAGUCAUGACAUAUAAUGGAGAAAUGCGUAAAAAAAUAAUUAAAAAAAAGGCACAGCCGGUUUAAGUUGUACUGGUUGGGACCUUUUUAAUAUUAAAAAUUCAUUUUGUUUAACUAUACUGACAACAUGUUGAGUAUGUGAGGCCUUUAUAUUAAAAUAAAAGCCGGUACAUGUUGUUAUUUAGACACAACAAGCUGUGCCGGCUUGGUAGAAUUAUGUUUCAAUCUCAGCUUUCCAAUAAGUUGAUCUAUGGUCCAAAAAGGGGUUGUUGGCAUAGUGUCCAUGGCAACAGGUUUCCAUGGAUGGAAUCCCUAUAUAUAUAUAUAUAUAUAUAUAUAUAUAUAUAUAUAUAUAUAUAUAUAUAUUGUAACGCCCCAGAAAUUCGAGCAAAUUGUAAAUUAUUUUAUUUGAUUUAAUAAUGAAUAAAAUUAGAUUAUAUGUGAUAAUAAGAUGAAUGUCGUUCUAUAACCUAGAUACGUCGUAACGUCGUAGUAUUUUGGCUACAUGAAUGAAUUAAAGUGUUUGAAUUUCCAAGACGAAAAUAAAACCGUUCCGAGAAAUUUUUUGAAAAAUACUAUUCACACAUUUUUACUCGGGAAUUAUUUUUGAAUUUUCGAGAAACGCGUAAUGAUAGAAUUCUAAGACGAGAUGGAAUAUCCAAUAAUAUUUUAGUUAUGUCAAACACAGUUUUUCGUCUGUGGACUUAAAACUUAUCGGUUAGGGAAAUCGAUUUCCAAGAAGGAAUUGAAAUGCGUAUAGUGAAUUAAAGUAAUGAUCAUAUAAUACGUAGGUAUUAUACGAGGUAAUGAAUACGAGUAUAAUAUGAGAUAUUAUACGAGUAUGUAUGAAUGAUGGUAUGUCGUAUAUUAAUAAGUAUACAAGUUAGAAUACGAGAAUAAAAGCCCAUGUAUAAGUUAAGCUAAAAGCCCAAAGUAAGAACCAUGGGUUAGUGGAUGAUUAAAACCCAUGGGGCAACCCAUGGGUGAUCCAAAGUGAUAAGCAAGUAAAUUUAAUGGCUAAGUAAAGGAUAAGUUAAGUGGUGAGCAAGCAAAUAAUGUGAUGAGCAAGUAAAGUGCUUAUGUGUGAUAAGAAAGUAAAGUGCUUAUAUGUGAUGAGCAAGUAAGGGAUAAGUUGAGUAAUGGCCAAGUAUAUGCGGUGAUCAAGUAAACUUGAUGGUUCAGCUAUGAAUAGUAAGGAGGUGGAUGGCUUAUUGACCAUUAAGCCCUCAAUUAGGAUUUCCUAUAAAUAAGAGAUGCCUUAGUUCAUUUCUUAGUUGUUAGAUUUUUCACCAAUAACUUAUAGCUUAUUGGUUAGAGAUAAAAAGCUACAAAAGCUAGAACAAGUUAGUCUUUGUUAAUUCAAGAAGCAAGAAAAAGAUUAAAGCUUAAUCAAGUGAUUAUCAAGGGUAAGAACCUAAACCAUGAAUCUCUUUCUCUUCAACUGUUAGAGAAGUGAGUAAUGGUAGAACAUGUAUGCUAAGAAGAAGUAGGAAUGAAUAAUCUAAGAACUUAAGUCUUAAUAAGCCAUGAAUAAGUACUUUGUUCAUAGAUAAAUUAUGAACCAAGGAAGAACUUGUAAUAUGUCUACAUAAAUGAAAUUUGUAUGAUUUGAAGAUGAGAGGAUGAUGGUUAGAAGACUUAAAGUAUGAUAAGUCAUGUGAAGUAAAAUCAUAAGUAGUUUAUACUUUUAAUAAGUUAUAAACUCAUGAAGAACAAGUAAUAACUUAUUAUGUAAAUAAGUUAAUGAAAUAUGCAUGUUAAGAUGUUAGUAUGAUGGAAUAAAUCCAUUUGAAAUGAUGAACAAAUCAUAAGUAACGAAGUUAUGCCGGAAUUCACACGAUUAGACGAUAAUCGUCGAAUUCGUGAAAUUCUCGGAAUGGAAGUCAAAUUUUGACAUUAAGUUCAGAAAUGAUGGUUUUCGAUGGAGUAUAGUCUCAUUUGGCAUUAUAGAGUUGCGGACUUGAAAAUGACAAAAUUCUGACUUAGAACGAAGAAACAAGCGUUGAACGUUCAUGAACGUUUAUCGUUUUCGUUAAAAUGAACUAAUAGGUGAAUUUUUAGUUAACAGAUUCGAAAAUGGAAAAUUCUUACAUUAACACGUAAUGUAUGUAAUUUGUGAGCUAAGGGCUUCUAAAUGAGCCAAUUCGGACUUAUAACGAAGAAGUUAUGAGCCCGAAAAGUUCAUUGAAAAAUUUAUCUGCAAAUUUUUCUAGGACUGAGGUCUGGCGCUGCAAAGCCAGACAUAGCUAUAUAGGUCGCGUAGCAGCGCUGGGGCGAAGCGAGUGGCCACUGCAGAGUCGCGCUGCAGCGCCACUCAAAGGUAUAACACUCGCGCCGUAGUGCCAUGAACAGUUUGGCCGGGUACUGGAUGUAAUAACCCGAUAUUUUGUAUAUAAUUAAAUUAAAAAAUUUGCGUAUAAAUUUUUUAUUUAUUUUAAAGGUGAGGAUAUGUACAAGAUAAAGCGUAUGUAUUUAUGUGAUAAAUAAAAAUAUAUUUAUUACAUGAAUAAUUACAAAUAAUUUUAUUUUAGAAUUAUUGUUCAUUAUAAAUUAUAUUCUUAUAAUAAUUAAUUUUAUAGUAGAAAUGUUUUUAUUAAUUAUUUACCAUAAAAAUAUGAUUUUAUAUUAUUUAGAAAUGAUUAUUAGAAAUGAUUAUUUUAUUUUAUUGUAUGAAUUUAUAUUAGAUUAAUUAAGUUAAUUAUUUGAACUUAAUUAAUAAUGUUAUAUAUGUAAGAUAAAUCAGAUAUGGAAUCCAAAUCCUAAUUUUGGAUUUUAAUCAAAGGAUGAGAAUAAUAAUAUAAUAUUAUUUUAUUUCAGUGCUAUAAAUAAGUAUUGUUUAUGUGUGGACUGAUAAUGGUUGGUCAAUUAUGGUGCAUCAUGACCAAACCCUAGCAUUAAUUUGUUUAACACUAUUUUUUAAACUCAAAUGGGAGAUUCACGACUGUGUAGUGAUUGUGUUAUAUGAAUAAUGACAUGUAUUGUAGAAUUUAGUCUUAAUUAGGAAAAACCCUAAUUAUUAUAAACCCUAAUUCAAAAGUCGAUAUAGAAUUAAUAUAUUGUUAUUAUUGUUUCAGCUUACUUUACAACUAUUGAUUCGUUGUAGAAGUGUUGUACAAAGAAAACAUUUAAUCCUUUCAACUACUAUUUAUUUUUGCUAUUACUUGCUGGGCACUCAAAUGCUUAUCCUUGCUUAAUUUAAAUAUUUUCAGCUAAAUGUGAACAACCAGAAGGUUCGGCCAAGAACAAGGGAAAAGGAA
Molecule: long non-coding RNA, 28865 nt
Filed under: Panax ginseng (ginseng)
Lineage: Eukaryota; Viridiplantae; Streptophyta; Magnoliopsida; Apiales; Araliaceae
Description: long non-coding RNA (PGIN_LNC000341)
Source: RNAcentral